GGGCCAGCGGUGGUUACCUGGAAAGCAAAUUAGCUCAUAAGGGUAAGCGUCGUACAAAGCAACCCAACAUUUGGAGCGUCAAUUUCCAUGCUUUGAGCCCAAAGGACCCUGAUCGCCGCGGAGAAGGAUGUAUCAACUUCAUGUACAUCCUGGUGGAAGAAAAAAAUCCUCAUGAAAGACAGAAGAAAAUGGAAGAAUCAGUAUCCCUGAAGCUGUUUAGGGUGAAUCUGAGGUCACCCCUCGACUUAUUUCCUAAAUCGAAAAAUUACUUUGAACUUUGGCCUGGUGAUCAAAAGCCAACAUUCAACCAAUGGACUUGGGUCUCUCUGUGCACAAUGGUUGAUGGACCAUUCAUGCUCGAGUUCAGAUCGAAUUUCCGGGGCAGAAACAACCGAGACUCAGCAAGAAUUGCCAGAUUGGAAGUGAGAUACACGCCAUGCACAAAUCCAACAAACUCAAAUGCCCGGUUAUAUUUUAACGUCCGAUCACGAAGACAUGGUUCAUUUGCAUCCUUUAAGGAAUUCCCUAGAAACCCCUCAAUGGGGUCCCUAAAGGAAUUCUUCAGAGCCCCUUCAUCAGAGUCCUUGUUGCGAUCGGGAUCAGCAUCGCCCUCACGAAUGUCGUCUCCGUCGUCAUCCUUCAGAGAUCAAGAUGAACCCCUAGAUUAA
Molecule: long non-coding RNA, 668 nt
Filed under: Bemisia tabaci
Lineage: Eukaryota; Metazoa; Arthropoda; Insecta; Hemiptera; Aleyrodidae
Description: lncRNA ENSSSA1UGG000651
Source: RNAcentral